CUGCACCAGCUGCCAGAUGGAUUAGACACGAUUGAAUGUUGCUUGAAUGGUGGAUGUGCUAUUGUUUGUUUUCUAAAUAAGUUAGUGAUUUUUUGGCGUUCUGAAUCUAAUCAUACGUGUUUGUAAUAAGAAACCUCAUCAUUUACGCAUCAGAAUUUGACCUUUCAAUAAUAAAAUCUCGAAGCAACAGCGGAAAUAAAAAGAUUUGUAAAGAAUGAGUGUGUUCCGAUAACAACGCCCCUGGAAGAACAGGGAAGUGUCAGUGAAUCUAAGGUUUCGGGGUGAUUCGCACACUAGCAACAAAGUAUGGACAACGAUGCAGGGGCCAAUGGUGGCUCAGCGGAACCGGACAUGCAUUCGUCGCCAUCUUCCGGCCGGGGGUUCCGGCCGGACACCUUGCGGGACAUUUUGAACACGGCCAUUCAAUCGAACGUCGAUGCGACUGAGUCUGCUGAACUGGACGUCGAGCCACCGUUGUUUGCUACCGGCAGCGUGCACGAUUAUAUGCCCCCUAUAAUUCUACCACGGGUGAGAAAUCCUCAAAACUACUACGAGUCGAUGCCUACAUAUUUCCCUCCUACGGCGCAUGUCGAAUCAGCUCGCACCAACUACGGCCUAUUUGGGCCAACUAGUUUUGGAUAUUUUCCAUCUCAUCACCAUUUACACCACCACCAUCAUCAUCAUCAGCCGCCACCUCAUGUUCAACAGCAAGCAAGCCGGUACUCACCGACGACCUUCCAUCAUGGAUCUUCCAGUUCAUCCAGACCGUCCUCGUCGUCGUCGGGAUCAUCUUUCAUCAUACGUCCAUCGUUGGACGGUGGUGACAACAUGCCCGGAUCGAACGAUGGCUCCAAUGUAGUGAUGAGGCCUCGGUCCCAUACAAGACCGCCACGGUCAUCCGAAGAGAUUGCCCCGAAUUGGAACUCGUAUGGAUUUCAUCACGCUCCUUACUGUGCUGCCGGUGCCGGCAACGGAGACAGAGGAGAUCUUCGCGGCGGUUUCAAUAGGAAACGGCACCACAACUGUGAUAUACACAAUAGACCCAAAAAGCCAACACCGGUUGAACGAUCUCAUCCUACGCACCUGGUAGAACACAAUAGACGCCCCAGAGGGAGACCUCCUCGCAAUUCCCCAAUAUUAUUGGACAUUAGUCAACUGUUACCGGUAAAAAAAGAGGAAAAAAUUGAACCUGAAGACCAAAAUGCUCAAAUCAAACAGGAAGAUCCCUGUCCAUGUGAAAUGUGUAGUGCGGAUUGCGCAACAGUAGAGCAAAGAAGUUGUUCAGUUCACCAUCAGCGGAAUGUGAUCAAGAAAGAGCCCAAGGUGGAAUGUUCCAACAAGGUGAAAAAAGAACCGGAAGUCAAGCAAGAGCAAGAAUGUAAGGCUGAACCGAAUGAAACACGGGAGGAAGAACCUGUUCCUCCGGAAGAGCCGAUGCCUGGUCCAAGUGGACUGAAUCGUCAUCUGGUGGAUCAAAUUCUAGAGCAAGAAGGGUCCAACAAGUCAUCCGGUCCUCGAUCGCGACGUUUUCCACCACGUUUCGCCUAUGACGACGACGAUGAUGACUACGAUAGUGACGACGAUACGGACGAGGAUGGUUUUAAUACAGCAGAUGGGCCUACGGAUGUCCGGAAUUCUUCGGACGCCGUUGACUUUAGUGAACUCACCGAAGUAGAUGUAGAUCCGGUCAACACAACCGAUAUCAUCCGAGAAACCUACAGGGAUGCGUCCCCUCCGGCUAUGGACAUCAGUCUUCAGAUCAACUCCUCUGGAGGAAGUACCUUGGGCGAAGCCUCUAGCCAGCAUAAUAAUAGUGACACCAGUGCACAGGGUGAUCAUGCCCGGGUAUCAGAUCCUCUGGAACCUCAGCAAAGUUCAGCACAUCAGCGAGCCAGCGACGUUCUUUCGGCACCAGACUUGCAACUAGAUUGGGUCACCGAUACGAGCAGCAUCAGUGAUGAAAGUGAUGUGGUGCUGGUGGAUCCGGACAACGCAAAUGGAAGGGAACCGAUUGAUCUGACCAACGAAUCGGACGAAGACAAUGGUGGAGCAAGCGGCACAGUGGCAGGCGGAAGACUAGAGGACGGCUGUAACCGAGAUGAUCGCAACUGUUAUGGCAGUCGAUCGUCGCCCUCCGGUUUUCCACCGGAUCAGAAAGGCCGUGGCUUGUUCAAUCGAUUUUCCGGGUUUACGGCGUAUGGAGCGAAUGGCGGCCACAGCUCAACUCCACCACCACCUUCCCCUCACAUGUAUCGUGUGCGUCAGCAUCAUAACUCUCAGCAGCCGCAUUCACCAGUUCCUGCACAGAGGCAUUUCCGAAACUUCUCUCACCAGAGCGGUAGCCGAGAUGGAGGAUAUUCUCCUAGCGUUCGGCGUUGGUUUCCAAAUGGACGUACUUCUCGGCAGGAUCCAAGCAUGAUGCGACCGACCCCACUGCUAUCAACUAACUAUCCAGCUCCGGGUCAUGGCCUGGAGUUACAUCGUCCGGCGGUGGCAGAUGGCGCAACGCCAGGAGCUCCCGGUGUAGAUAACGGAAGCGAUAGCAAUGCAGGAAUGGUUAUAGACAACACCAGCAGUGGGAGUUUCAACCGAAAUCAUUUCGUGCAACAUGGCUCUCUGGGUGACACGUUUGCUUACAAUACAACGAAUGUCACCAAUCACAGGCAUGGUACCCAGCGCGGUGAUAGUGGUAAUAACAGCAAUGAACAAAGGUAUAUGUGCGCCCAUUUAACGGCUGAGAGUCCGAUCGACUACUCCAAUAGGCUGGGCUCGAAUGGCAGAGAGUAUGAUGAAACAAACCAUCGACGGUUUAACGAUGACAACAAUAAUCAACCCGGAUACGAAUCUGGGCGACAAGCACCUCCUCCGGCAGGAAGCAACCAUCCGGAGCCACGAAGCUAUCGUAGCACUCAUGGUUACUUGAACCGUAACCGCUAUCUGCAUUCGGGCGGAGUCCGACCACCGUACGCAGUUCACGAACAACUGUGGAAUCGACAGCACAACAUGCAGGAAGCGCACCGCCGUAUGCUGAAUGAUUACAACGAGCGGAUGUCUCCUCAUCACCUCGGUGCCCUACGACCCAGAAACCUGAGACAUCUUUUGUACAACAAUCCGGCGGGUCCAAAUCCGGCUCAUUCCGGUGGGGCUGGUUCUGGUGGUCCUGGUGCCCGGGAACAACUCUUCGAAGAUGGCGAAACGCAUUGGACGGAUCGGGAUUUCAAUCGUUACGGGCUGAACUAUCAGCAGGAUCUGCGCGUCUUUAAUCAUCGUCCGAGGCGCGUCUCGUAUCAUACCACCGUGUAUCCACCGAUGCGACGAAACGAUCACCAGCACGUCCAUCAUCAUAUGUACCAUCACUUCCAGCCACAGGCCAUUCUCAACAACGCACCACAGGUCCACUUGAGCAUUGGGCUCCGGCCUAGUUUACUGUCCAGUCUGAAUCGUUUCGUUCGCGUCAUCGAGGAUACCUGUUCCAAUCGUGGAGCCACACAGGAAAUGAUCGAGCACAACACCUUCCCACACAAGUACAAACGGCUGCGUCGGGCCAGCGAGACCGACGAAGAUAGCGAGAAGUGCACGAUCUGUUUGUCUCAGUUUGAGGUGGACAACGAUGUGAGGCGCCUACCGUGUAUGCAUUUAUUCCACAAGGAUUGUGUCGAUCAGUGGCUGGUUACCAACAAGCACUGUCCCAUCUGCCGAGUGGACAUCGAAGUGCACCUAACCAAAGACUACAGCAUAUGACGGUCGGAAGACGAUAGCAGCGCAUCCUACCAGCAGGGUCUAUCCGGCGGGAACCGAACGCGCAUCCUAGUGUUUGACCGGAACGCGCCGUCCUCCCGUCGCUACCAUAUGCGUCAUCAUCCGGCGCAGACGCAGCUCAGUAAUCGUUAUGUAGAGUCAUAUUUAUCGAUGGUGUCACGGAAUCUCAUCGACGAUGGGUCGUUUUUCUUUUACCUCUGAAUGCCCAUCGAUUUUACAUCAGAGGGAUCUGAGGGCUGGUAUUGUCACCGGCCUAAUAAAGCUAGCAAGUAACUAGUA
Molecule: RNA transcript, 4038 nt
Organism: Aedes albopictus (Asian tiger mosquito)
Lineage: Eukaryota; Metazoa; Arthropoda; Insecta; Diptera; Culicidae
Exons: 7
Source: RefSeq, a predicted model, not a curated record